UGCCAGGUCCCGCGCAAUAGGGCGGCACCGAACCCCGUCAGGUCCGGAAGGAAGCAGCGGUAAGUGCUUUACCUAUGUGCCGCGGGUUCACCUGGCAAUUU
RNAcentral lists this signal recognition particle RNA (101 nucleotides) under Caldithrix abyssi DSM 13497. Its description in RNAcentral is "RNA component of signal recognition particle". It matches the Rfam family "Bacterial small signal recognition particle RNA". Rfam says of the family: The signal recognition particle (SRP) is a universally conserved ribonucleoprotein involved in the co-translational targeting of proteins to membranes. Archaeal SRP consists of a 7S RNA and homologues of the eukaryotic SRP19 and SRP54 proteins. The record is from RNAcentral. Lineage: Bacteria; Pseudomonadati; Calditrichota; Calditrichia; Calditrichales; Calditrichaceae.